GUUUGAUCCUGGCUCAGGACGAACGCUGGCGGCGUGCCUAAGACAUGCAAGUCGAACGGAGGCUUCGGCCUCAGUGGCGAACGGCGGAGUAAGACAUAAGCAACGUGCCCUGAAGUCUGGGAUAUACGGUCGAAAGACCGGGCAAUACCGGAUGUGGCCCUUGCCAGGCAUCUGGCGAGGAUUAAACGGUUUUUCGCUUCAGGAGCGGCUUAUGGCCUAUCAGCUUGUUGGUGAGGUAACGGCUCACCAAGGCGACGACGGGUAGGGGGUCUGAGAGGAUGAUCCCCCCGAGUGGGACUGAGACACGGCCCACACACCUACGGGUGGCAGCAGUUAGGAAUCUUGCACAAUGGGGGAAACCCUGAUGCAGCGACGCCGCGUGGAGGAUGAAGGAUCUAGGUCUGUAAACUCCUUUUGCCGGGAAAGACUUAGGACGGUACCCGGCGAAUAAGCUCCGGCUAACUACGUGCCAGCAGCCGCGGUAAGACGUAGGGAGCAAGCGUUGUCCGGAUUUACUGGGCGUAAAGGGCGCGUAGGCGGUCUGUUAAGUGUGAAGUGAAAUCUCCAGGGCUCAACCCGGAAACUGCUUCGCAUACUGGCAGACUAGAGGAAGGAAGAGGUGAAUAGAAUUCCCGGUGUAACGGUGACAUGUAUUGAUAUCGGGAGGAAUACCAAUGGCGAAAGCAGUUCACUGGUCCUUUCCUGACGCUGAGGCGCGAAAGCGUGGGUAGCAAACAGGAUUAGAUACCCUGGUAGUCCACGCCCU
This 766-nucleotide ribosomal RNA is filed under the name uncultured bacterium. RNAcentral describes it as "bacterial SSU rRNA". It matches the Rfam family "Bacterial small subunit ribosomal RNA", at positions 11 to 803 of the family's 1533-position model. The record is from RNAcentral.